GAUUGCGUUUGUUGUCGACCGAUAAAUAAGGGAUCGCGAUAUCGAUAACCGGAGGGCGCGGUUAAGAGGGGAGCGGAGAAGAGAUUAGGGAGACGAAUCUCCCCCAUCGUUGAUUUUUUUUUCCCACCGUCCAUUAUACCUUUAUACCGGUCGGCGACUGCGGUUUUGAAAAUUCAAUUUUUACUUUUUAGCCGGGAAAAUCGUUGACAAUGUGUCGGUUCAGUGGCGCGCACAGAGAGGAGGUUAG
Molecule: non-coding RNA, 247 nt
Organism: Cinara cedri
Lineage: Eukaryota; Metazoa; Arthropoda; Insecta; Hemiptera; Aphididae
Source: the annotation of a GenBank genome assembly